Coniella lustricola is the source of this 83-nucleotide non-coding RNA. NCBI's taxonomy places the organism in Eukaryota, Fungi, Ascomycota, Sordariomycetes, Diaporthales, Schizoparmaceae. The record is from the annotation of a GenBank genome assembly.
GGGGAUUUAGCACAGUGGUAGCGCGCAACAUUUGCAAUCAGCAAUCUUUGUUGAGGUCGUGGGUUCGAUCCCCACAAUCUCCA